GGGUUGAUGGCCUAAUGGCUAUCGCUUCUGAUUCAUAAUCAGAAAGUCAUGGGUUCAAUCCA
RNAcentral lists this transfer RNA (62 nucleotides) under Aedes aegypti (yellow fever mosquito). It matches the Rfam family "tRNA". Rfam says of the family: Transfer RNA (tRNA) molecules are approximately 80 nucleotides in length. Their secondary structure includes four short double-helical elements and three loops (D, anti-codon, and T loops). Lineage: Eukaryota; Metazoa; Arthropoda; Insecta; Diptera; Culicidae. The record is from Rfam by way of RNAcentral.